This 145-nucleotide ribosomal RNA is filed under the name uncultured eukaryote. RNAcentral's name for it is "partial 18S ribosomal RNA". It matches the Rfam family "Eukaryotic small subunit ribosomal RNA", at positions 1299 to 1453 of the family's 1831-position model. The record is from RNAcentral.
UGGUGGAGUGAUUUGUCUGGUUAAUUCCGUUAACGAACGAGACCCCUGCCUGCUAAAUAGCCCAAUAAGUGAUUUUUCUACUGAUUGUUGGCUUCUUAGAGGGACGAGCAUUCUAUUAGAUGCAGGAGGAUAGGGGCGAAUAACA